CCAUUGGACCAUGAGUACGUUGC
RNAcentral lists this non-coding RNA (23 nucleotides) under Arabidopsis thaliana (thale cress). Lineage: Eukaryota; Viridiplantae; Streptophyta; Magnoliopsida; Brassicales; Brassicaceae. The record is from RNAcentral.